RNAcentral lists this long non-coding RNA (4444 nucleotides) under Homo sapiens (human). RNAcentral's name for it is "HSALNT0060787". Lineage: Eukaryota; Metazoa; Chordata; Mammalia; Primates; Hominidae. The record is from RNAcentral.
GUUUAUUGUUUGACCAACAUGCUGAGUCUUUUCCACAUUUUACACAGUUUAAUGUGAAAUCAACAUGGCGGCUAUGUCUUCUGAGCCCAUAACAGAUGGAAUUGCCACCCUCUGUGCUCCUCACAGCCAAUCACUUUAAAGGGAUGGGUGAGGGGAAAGUGAGGGGAGAAGUGGACACACACCGCGAGAUGCAGGCUGGCCUUCAAUGCUAUGGAGGCUUCCCACCUCCUGAAGGAACCAUCUAAACCCCUGCUGCAAGGAUUUCCUGAUGAAACCACACACUGCUGGGAGUGCCAACCAGACAGGGGUCUGGAGUCCAAGGAGUUUGCACAUUGAGAUCCCAAGGUUUUGGAACACCUAAAUAGUUCAUGUCAAACAAAAAUUCAAAGGGUGUCCUGAUCUGUGUGGGUGCCCAUGACAAUCAAUCAGAGUAGACUUGGGGACUGGCCCUUGUGCAGUAGAGGAGCCCAAAAUACCACCAAUAUUCUCACUCAUAUGCUGGGAAGAACCUAGUGUCCUAACCAAAAAGAGUAGAGAUGGUCUGAGGAACACACCCACACACAGCAGUCCUUGCUGUGUAAUAAAUAUGGAGUCACAUUUGUUCACACACAGGGCAGCAAUGGAUGAAAAAUGGAAACUUCACUGGUUCUGAUCACUCCUAACUUGCUGGGUGAUCUUAAUAAGCAAGUUGCCCUUCUCCAUCCUGGUUUUCCUGCCUGUAGACAGGAAAAGUUGUGACAGCUCUGCUUCACAUAGCUGUAACAAGGUGACAAUGCCUCACAUUCUUUGGGGAGAGGCAGUUCGGAAACGAGUGUGCGCACAAUCUGCUCGGUUGAUGCACACAGACAUCCUUCUGUUCAGCUGCCCCUCAAGUGGCUCAGACAUGCCUCACUGUCCUCGGCUACCUGGUCCCAUCUCAUCCUGACAUCCUCACCUGCCUUCCAUCUUGUGAAGGAAUGAGGCUGCUCUACCUGCAGGAUGCUGAAGCCAGGAGGGCCAUCCCUUUAUUGUCACAACUGGUAUCCCAGGGCAGGGCCUCCCCGCACUGGCUAGCCACCAGGAUGAUGCAGACGUUGCACCCCAGAUGUGUCUGCACUCUUAACUACCACCAUUUCAAUCCUUGUUUCUGUUGCCAGAGAUACUGAAACUGGUCUGGCCAUUGCUCCCCUCAGACCUGGGAACAUGACUGAAUGUUUAAGGAUGACAAGAAGAGAGCAGCGAUAGAUAGCAAGGAGGCCUCUGACCAAGGGAAACUGCUGCCAACAGCUACCAAGCCAACUAGCCUUGGAUCACACAACUGCAGCCAUGGUGCUCAUGAUUCUGAUGUCACACCUUCAUGUUGAUGUAUGUAUGAUCACCCAGCAAGUUAGGAGUGAUCAGAACCAAUGUGUUUCCACUUGUAAAUAGGCUGUUUGCUUUUUCCAUCUUACACUCAACUUUCCUGAUGCCUGCAGAACAGGAGCUUUGUUGAUAAGCUUUUAAGAUUCACCCCCUUCACUCCCACCAUCCCCAAAAAAGAAGGCCAAGAGGAUCCUGCUAAUCUGCCAGGUCACGUCUAGUCUUUGGGGAGAGGGACUGAAUUGCUCAAUUGAGAACAUUUCCUCAAAGGAAUCCUCCAAUUUGCCCUCUGCUAACCCAUCUGGAUUCAGCAAAGAUGCAAUGCUCUUGCUGGGGUGCUGAGGCAAUGCCAUGACAUCUUCUUCAAGAGCACCUAACAGUUUAUUAUGGAACCUUAACUCUGUGCCAAUUCUACCUGCAAGCAAGGGGACAGGGAUGGUGCCUGCUCAAGACAAAAAUCAGGGAACCAACAACUUCUGAAAAAGAGGUCUGGCUGCCUUUCCACACCCCAGGAAGGGAGGGGCGGAAACCGCACGUGCCGAAGGGAGCGCCAUGGAACCACUGAGAUGGGAGGAUGGGAGGAAGCCACCCUCAGCCUCAGAGGCCAAGGGGCUGGGGAGAACCCAAACUCAAAGAGAGGAUGUUGUGUGCAUGCUAGGAAAGGCAGGACUCACUAAGGCCAUGUCAAACCAAAUGCUAUCUUUUACUGCUCCUCUAGGCCAGGAUGGAAACACAGUCCACGGUGCCUUGGAUGUGUGUGCCCCUGAGAAGGGAACUGAGUUUCUACUGUUUUAUGGGAUGUUUUUUUAAAAAAGCUAAUCUUUAGUGCCAAGAAAAUAAAAAUCUACCAUACGUUCAUUCACUGAGACCCAGUGCAGAUUCCUGUAAAUGGGGCGGUCUCAGAGGCCACAGGUGAUGGCCCCCGCUGCCAACCAGGCAGGACACUGUCAUGUGGACUCCUGUAAAUUCUCUCGAGGUAAGUAAGCACUCUUCCAACAAGCACCACUUGGGGGUGUGCCCAUGGUGGGGGGACACUGGCCCACACAGGCAUGCACACCCGUGCAUAUAAAGUACAUAGAGAAAUGGUGGAGAUAUUCCCGUGGGCUAUGUUUGCCUGUAGUUUAACACAACUAUGCAUUAUUUUAUUGAUGGCAAGACAAUCACAAGUUAUUUGACAAUAUUAAGUAUUUCUUAUUUCAACACGUUGCAGUACUUUUGAAUUUCCAAAACUUAUCACAAUGCAAGUUCCAACUUGAGAGCAGGAGAAACAAGAAUAUACAUUGAGCACAUGUAUCUCCGUGAGGAUGUGUUUGUGGAAGGUGUAUACACAAGUCUAUCUCUAUAUAUAAUUAUGUACACACAUAUAAAAACUAAACACAUGACAUCUGAAACACGUUCAAACAUUGGUCCUUGCCUUCUGCAAGAGGUGCUCAGUGGGAUCCUGCUUCCUCUCUUCUUCACCUGAAGAUAAAUUCCUUGCUAGAGAUGAGCUCUGGCAUACAGCCUCCUAGGCAGAGGGUGUGUGGCAGGCCCACUGCACAAAUAUCAGUCCUGCCAGAUUCUGCUGCACUUACUGCCUGCCAUUUCAGAUUAAUUUCUGAGAAGUUUCAAAAUUCAUUCCAACGACCUUGUGGAGUUCAGCCCACCAUACCCCAGAUGGUCAUUCAUCCCAUCUAUGACAUGCCCAGCAGCAGCCUGGAGGGAGAGCCAAUGACAGCAGGGAGGGUGGGGUUUACAUUUUGGCCAGACUCACUGCCCAUUGCACCUGGCUCUGUGCAGGCUCAGGGCAGUGAGUCUGAGUCUAUUUGGAAUGCUGGCCAAGUAGGUUAUAUCACUUAGUGGGAAGAGAGAGUUCUCUUCAGAGACUUUGCAGAUUCUCAGGACUAAGCCAUUCUCAGGAAUGAAUCAAAAAUGGAAGAGAUGGCUCUCUGGGGGCAAGCAGCCUUCUGGAGACCCCACCUGAACCACAUCCUCAGGUGACCACAGCGCAGCCACAGUAGCCACAAAGAUAUGUCCACAAAGACUUCAACUGCGCCAUGCCACUGGGGUGAAAACAUAGCAACAAAUCAGCUUUUCCAGAAAGCACUCAACAAUACUGCCCAACAUCACACACUGAGUUUCUUAGACUUGGCCCAGGCAUGUGUACUGACUGCUGGGUGGGCUGGUUAAAAUAUUUUCAGAAGUACACAUGGCACCCCAGUCUAUAAACCACGCACCACGCAGCUGCAAUUGCCAACAGCACCUCGUCCUUCUGAUGGCCUCUUGCUCUGCCAGUCCCUGAGGGCACAGAGAACACAAGGUUGCCUGUACCCUCAACCCCCUUCAAGGCUUUUCAGGGAAAGAGAAGGAGAGGUGGGAGCAGUUCCUCUGGGGGCUGCUGCCGGGCUGCCUAGAGCCCACAGACCUUGGUCUCAGCUCCACACGAGGUUGACGACCCACUCUGGCCAUGGAAAGACAAGAGUCAGAGCUACCUUUUCAGAGGCUGAUGUGUUCAACCAAUGUUUGAUUUAACUGGAGUAGGGCCUAGAGAGUGGGGCCAGAUGGCCCCAGACUGAAGCCUAAUUAAUUUGCUCAGUUAAUUGUUUUAAUUUAUUGGGCUGGGGAUAGGAGGAAGGCAGAGGUGAUGAAUGGUUCAAAGAGAACAGGAAGGAGGAGGUGUGUGGAAAAGGUUCUCUAUAAGUUUACAAAUAUACAAAAACAAAAAGCACAUCUUUCAAAUAAAAAUGACUACAUUUUUAUCUGGCAAAAAAUUGUAUACACAUGAUUUAAAUUUUUUUUAAAUUUUAACAGUUUUUGGCAAUCUUAAUAAAGUACAAUAUAUUACAACCAAACCAAAAAAUAGUUGUUUAAGUAACAGCCGUUAAGAGUGAUGUGAUCCCUGAUGCCCAGCCUCCCUCCCCAUCCCACCCUACUCCUAAAGACAGAGAGAAAAGAAAAAUCCUCCCAUCUUGAUAACUCGGUUCCCUCCCCCCUUAGGAAGCUAGCCAAUAGGAAGCAACACAACAAGCAAGGAGUGUCAUGGGAAGCCACAGGUCGGCUCUGCAUUAGCAGGAGCAGCCGCCCUCGCUGGCCGGGGGCUCCUGGGGUUUGUCCAGCUUGAUGUCGA